GAACCCUUUUGUAUUGCUUCAAGCCUUGUAUUAUUGCAUGUAUAUUUAUUGUUUCCAAAAGUACCUUUUAUAUGAAUUAAACUACUUUGGAUUAAGUAGUGUGUGUUUUGUAGCACUAGAAUCAAUAAUUGAAGUUGAUGUGUUUUCUUCAUUACAUUCUAUGGCAUGCAUGCACGCAUAAUACGUUUUAUCAUUAUUUAUAACAAAUCUUACAUUGCAAGUCUUUUUCUUUAUGCUUUUGUUCUUGUGUUUGAAGAAG
RNAcentral lists this long non-coding RNA (259 nucleotides) under Physcomitrium patens. RNAcentral's name for it is "long non-coding RNA (PPAT_LNC005731)". The record is from RNAcentral. Lineage: Eukaryota; Viridiplantae; Streptophyta; Bryopsida; Funariales; Funariaceae.